Molecule: ribosomal RNA, 1352 nt
Filed under: Paranarthrura aff. lusitanus ITan073
Lineage: Eukaryota; Metazoa; Arthropoda; Malacostraca; Tanaidacea; Agathotanaidae
Description: SSU rRNA
Rfam family: Eukaryotic small subunit ribosomal RNA
Source: RNAcentral
UCUCAAAGAUUAAGCCAUGCAUGUGUCAGUGCAAGCCUUUCUUUACGGUGAAACCGCGAAUGGCUCAUUAAAUCAGUCAUAAUCCGUUGGACUUUAUGGAACCGUGUCCUUACUCGGAUAACUGUGGUAAUUCUAGAGCUAAUACAUGCCACGAGUUCCCAAAGUGUUUUUGUUAGCAUUAGUAGGACGCAAUUAUUAGAACCAAAAAUUGUACCGAACCUUGACUUGGUGUAAAAUUUGGUGAAUCUGGAUAAUCACAGCAGAGCGCUUAACUUGUGUCGGCGCCUGACCUUUGAAGAGUCUGCUCUAUCAGCUUGACUGUAGAUUAAAUGUCUACAAUGGCUAUAACGGGUAACGGGGAAUCAGGGUUCGAUUCCGGAGAGGCAGCCUGAGAAACAGCUACCACAUCUAAGGAAGGCAGCAGGCACGCAAAUUGCUCAAUCUUAGCUCGAGGAAGCAGUGACAAAAUAUCUUGAUGCGGGACUCUUCCGAGGCCUCGCAAUCAGGAUGCGUUUACCAUAAAAAGGUAGACUGAACGCAAUUGGAGGGCAAGUCUGGUGCCAGCAGCCGCGGUAAUUCCAGCUCCAAUAGCGUAUAUUUAACUUGCUGAGGUUAAAAAGCUCGUAGUUGGACUUUAUACUCAGGCAGCCAGCCCUCGUCCUUGAGGUUCUUACUGGUCUGUGACUGAGUGUAUGAGACCGUCGAUAAAUUUUAAUCUAUAACUUGUGGUGCCCUUAACUGGUUUAGGUAUAUCAUGCAGAAACUUUUCGACUGUAUCACUUUGAUAAAAUUAGAGUGCUCAACGCACUCAUUGCAUAAUUGCCUAUAUGGUAGUGCAUGGAAUGAUGGAAGAUGAUCUCUACCUCGUUAAAUUAGCACAAAAUCUUUGAUGUUCUUUACACCAAUGAAAGAUUCGAGGUUUGAGAUAAUGAUUAAAGGGAACAGCCGAAAGCGUUUGUACUACGGCGCUAGAGGUGAAAUUCUUGGACCGUCGUAAGACAAACUACUGCGAAAGCAUUCGCCAAGAAUGUUUUCAUUAAUCAAGAACGAAAGUUAGAGUUUAGAAGGAGAUCAGAUACCUCCCUAUUUCUAACCGUAAACUAUGUAAACCGGUUGUCCGUCGGAAGUCAUUUCCGAUGGACGAGCGACCCCAGGGAAACCAGAGAUUAUUCCUGGGGAAGUAUGGUUGCAAAAGCGAAACUUAAAGGAAUUGACGGAAGGACACCACCAGGAGUGGAGCCUGCGGCUUAAUUUGACUCAACACGGGAAACCUCACCAGGCCCAGAAACAUUUAGGAUUGACAGAUUGAAAGCUCUUUCAUGAUUAUGAGGAUGGUGGUGCAUGGCCGUCUU